Non-coding RNA from Caenorhabditis elegans, 109 nucleotides. NCBI's taxonomy places the organism in Eukaryota, Metazoa, Nematoda, Chromadorea, Rhabditida, Rhabditidae. The record is from Ensembl.
AGUUUAUAGUUGUAGUUGGUAGUUUGUGAUUUGUAGUUUGUAGUUUGUAGUUUGUAGUUUGUAGUUUGUAGUUUGUAGUUUGUAAUUUGUAAUUUGUAGAUUGUAGUUU